CUUUGGAGAGCAAAAGCAAAAGAUUAACUAACUGCUCACAUGGGUCCCAGGAAAAUACAAAAGCACUACUGUUUAACAGGAAAGUUACUAUCCAGAAAUUAACCCACAAAGGUGGGAAGAGUAUUUACCCGCUAAUCUCUUUAUUCCCUCGCCUGACAAAAUAUCUGCAUUCCUGGGCGGCCUCAAGAAAUGAACUACAGACAUCUAUUCCCUUUGUGAUACCUCCUUGGAAUCAAAGUGUGGAGUGUAACAAUGUGCCUCCACACACUCACACUAGUUGAUGCUUCAUCUUGGUGAAAUCAAGUUUUUGGAAUUACCUUUCCUAAGAUCAUUCUAUUCACAGAGAAGGAGCUUAAUGAAACUAUGGUGGAUGUAUUCUAGACAGAAGAAGGAUUAAACCAAGAUAAAAACAAUGUGAAUGAGGAAAGUGGGAGUAACAGGGAUUCCAAGAGAAAGAUUUUCCAUUUGUCAAAAAUGAGGAGUACUAAUCAGUAGUGCUAUGGAAACAAGACACUAACAGUUAUAGUCCGGAAGAAGAGAUGAUAACAUCUGUCCCUAAAAAGAGAAAUAUGUCUUAACCUUAAAGAAUCAAGGACUCCAGGGAUCUUUAAGUUCUGGUAGUGAGGAG
This 628-nucleotide long non-coding RNA is filed under the name Homo sapiens (human). Its description in RNAcentral is "HSALNT0191576". The record is from RNAcentral. Lineage: Eukaryota; Metazoa; Chordata; Mammalia; Primates; Hominidae.